This 66-nucleotide small nuclear RNA is filed under the name Mesocricetus auratus (golden hamster). The record is from RNAcentral. Lineage: Eukaryota; Metazoa; Chordata; Mammalia; Rodentia; Cricetidae.
GAGAGAGGAUUAGCCUGGCCCCUGCACAAGGAUGACAUGCAAGUUCAUGAAGUGCUCCGUAAGUUA